AAUAUAUUUUAUUAUAGUAAUUAAGUUUAUUAAUUAAAUAUUUUAUAUGUAAAUUAUUGUAUGAAAUAAUAUAAUUUAAAAAAUAAAAUAAUUUAUUUGCAGUAAUUAAAAUUAUUAAUUUAAGAAAUUAUGAUUUAGUAAUUUAGUUUAAUAUAGAUAUUUUUUGUGCCAGCAAUCGCGGUUAUACAAAAUAUAUAAAUAAAUUAUUUUAAAAAAAGUUAAAUAAUUUUUUAUAUUAAGUUUUAAUUUAUUUUAUUAAGUGAAAUUUUAUUAUAAUAAAAAAUUUAAUAAAAUUUAAUAUUUAUCUUAUAAAUUUUUUUAUAAACUAGGAUUAGAUACCCUAUUAUUAAAAUAUAAAAUUAUUUUUUUGAUUAGUAUUAGGUAUAUUAAUGAAAUUAAAAUAAAUUGGCGGUAUUUUAGUCUAUUCAGAGGAAUUUGUUUUAUAAUUGAUAAUCCUCAUUUUAUUUUACUUAUUUUAUUUAAUUUGUAUAUCGUUGUCAUUAGAAUAUUUUGUAAAAAUAAUAAUUUUCUGAAAUUAUUUAAAAUUUUAUGUCAAAUCAAGGUGCAGUUUAUAUUUAAGAAAAAAUGAAUUACAAUAAUAUAUAAUUAAAAUGAAUUAAAAAUUGGAAUAUUUUUAUGAAGGUGGAUUUGAUAGUAAAUUUAAUGAGAAUGUUAAUUUGAUUAUAGCUCUAAAAUAUGUACAUAUCGCCCGUCACUCUUAUUUUUAAAAUAAGAUAAGUCGUAACAAAGUAGAGUUAUUGGAAGAUGUCUCUAGAUUAUU
This 781-nucleotide non-coding RNA is filed under the name Psathyromyia aragaoi. Lineage: Eukaryota; Metazoa; Arthropoda; Insecta; Diptera; Psychodidae. The record is from RNAcentral.